UCCAGGGCUGCCACUGCCGAAGCAUUAUGAAUAAGGAGCAGUCUUGACCAGGACAUGUUUUCUUUCAAGAAACACCAAAGACAGAUUAUGAGAACAGAACGGCAACAUCAGAUAUUGUUUAUGUAGUUCUGUUUACACAUCAGACUCAGGAAUUUCUCUGUCUGCCAAAUUUUUCCCAAUUACUACCCAUUCUGCAAUAAUAGCCUGUAAACUCAGAGCUGAAUUUCCAGAUGUAAAAUCAUCCCACCUGUGAAGUGAAUUCCUGGCAUUCUUUGCUAAAGCACAACCAGAUCUAUCUUUACAUGAGAAUAUGAUACAACAAUUACAUUUAUAAACCUGUAAGAUCAGCACACAAAUUUUUGAGCAGUGUGUAUAAUAGCGAAUUCAUCAUCUUCUCCAGCAUUCUAAAUGCCAUUCUUGCAGCAAGGAAUGAGGACAGGUCAGCAUCAUGGGCACUACUAAAGAACCAUCGGUACCCACUAUUCUUUGACACGAGGAUAGAAAGUAUUCAACUUCUUAAAAGAUGUGCUAUGACUUCAAAUAUGUUUUUAGAUCCAACUAUGACUGGCUGAGACUCUUCUAAGGAACUUGAGAUAAUUCCAGUAUCACCAUGUAAGAAUAUGUCUGGAUGAAGCAGUCUGAAGAUCACUGUAUGAUAUUAACUUUGGGUAAGACUUUUUAGUAAAUCAGAACUUAUCUUUCACUGCUAUUAACACAAUCACAUUGCACUCCCUAAAGUAAGAUUUUGCUUGGACAGCACCAUUAACCAGAGUGUAAUUUUACCUGAGAAAGAAUAAAAGAACUCACUUCUCUCA
RNAcentral lists this long non-coding RNA (815 nucleotides) under Serinus canaria (Common canary). Its description in RNAcentral is "lncRNA (ENSSCAG00000001783.1)". The record is from RNAcentral. Lineage: Eukaryota; Metazoa; Chordata; Aves; Passeriformes; Fringillidae.